CAAGUUUUAGUUGGGAGGGAAUACUAACUUAAACUUUGUGAGGGAUCGUUCUACUUCUAACAUCACAGCAUGCAGAAAGUAAAACAUAAACAGAAUAGCAUUCACACAGUUGUGACACAGUAUGGCCCGUUUUCAUAUGGUGAUCUCCAUCUCCAUAGAACCUGUUCACCAUGGUGAUCUCCAUCUCCAUGUUCCAUGUGCGCCAUCCUCCUGGUGAUGAGUCCUCCAAGAACUAGAACAUGCUAUUACGCCUAAUAGCUAGUAAAAAAAAACUAGUAAUGAAGAUUAC
Molecule: long non-coding RNA, 289 nt
Filed under: Setaria viridis
Lineage: Eukaryota; Viridiplantae; Streptophyta; Magnoliopsida; Poales; Poaceae
Description: long non-coding RNA (SVIR_LNC003086)
Source: RNAcentral